RNAcentral lists this long non-coding RNA (2615 nucleotides) under Mytilus galloprovincialis (Mediterranean mussel). The record is from RNAcentral. Lineage: Eukaryota; Metazoa; Mollusca; Bivalvia; Mytilida; Mytilidae.
AAAAAAGAAAAGGCGACAAUUAGACAUACACAAAGGUCUUAACAGAAAACAUACCUGGGAAUCCUCAAUCUGCGUCGCGCCCUGCAAAAAAAAAAGGCCACACGACCUAAAGGAAAAAAAAAGAACCAUUAGACAUACACAAAGGUCUUAACAGAAAACAUACCUGAAUUCCUCAAUCUGCGUCGCGCCCUGCUAGAAAAAAAGAAAAGGCGACAUUAGACAUACACAAAGGCCUUAACAGAAAACAUACCUGGAAUCUCAAUCUGCGUCGCGCCCUGCUAGAAAAAAAGAAAAGGACAACAUUAGACAUACACAAAGGUCUUAACAGAAAACAUACCUGGGAAUUCCUUAAUCUGCGUCGCGCCCUGCCAGAAAAAGAAAAGGCGACAUUAGACAUACACAAAAACCUUAACAGAAAACAUACCUGAAAAUCCUCAAUCUGCGUCGUGCCCUGCCAGAAAAAAAGAAAAGGCAACAUUAAACAUACACAAAGGUCUUAACAGAAAACAUACCUGAAAAUCCUCAAUCUGCGUCGCGCCCUGCUAGAAAAAAAGAAAAGGCGACAUUAGACAUACACAAAGGCCUUACCAGAAAACAUACCUGAAAAUCCUCAAUCUGCGUCUCGCCCUGCUAGAAAAAAGGAAAAGGCGACAUUAGACAUACACAAAGGCCUUAACGGAAAACAUACCUGCGAAUCUCCAAUCUGUGUCGCGCCCUGCCAGAAAAAAAGAAAAGGCAACAUUAGACGUACACCAAGGUCUUAACAGAUAACAUACCUGAAAAUCCUCAAUCUGCGUCGCGCCCUGCCAGAAAAAAAGAAAAGGCAACAUUAGACAUACACAAAGGUCUUAACAGAAAACAUACCUGGAAAAUCCUCAAUCUGCGUCGCGCCCUGCAAAAAAAAAAAGGCCACACGACCUAAAGGAAAAAAAAAAGAACCAUUAGACAUACACAAAGGUCUUAACAGAAAACAUACCUGCGAAUCUCAAUCUGCGUCGCGCCCUGCCAGAAAAAAAGAAAAGGCAACAUUAGACAUACACAAAGGUCUUAACAGAAAACAUACCUGGAAUUCCUCAAUCUGCGUCGCGCCCUGCUAGAAAAAAAGAAAAGACAACAUUAGACAUACACAAAGGUCUUAACAGAAAACAUACCUGAAAUCCUCAAUCUGCGUCGCGCCCUGCUAGAAAAAAAGAAAACACAACAUUAGACAUACACAAAGGUCUUAACAGAAAACAUACCUGCGAAUCUUCAAUCUGCGUCGUGCUCUUCCAGAAAAAAAGAAAAGGCAACAUUAAACAUACACAUAGGCCUUAACAAAAAACAUACCAGCAAAUGUAGCAUAGGCCACACGACCUAAAGGAAAAAAAAAGGAACCAUUAGACAAACACAAAGGCCUUAACAGAAAACAUACCUGAAAAUCUUCAAUCUGCAACGCACCCUGCUAGAAAAAAAGAAAAGGCAACAUUAGACAUACACAAAGGUCUUAACAGAAAACAUACCUGAAAAUCCUCAAUCUGUGUCGCGCCCUGCUAGAAAAAAAGAAAAGACAACAUUAGACAUACACAAAGGUCUUAACAGAAAACAUACCUAAAUCCUCAAUCUGCGUCGCGCCCUGCAAAAAAAAAAAAAAGUCCACACGACCUAAAGGAAAAAAAAAGGAACCAUUAGACAUACACAAAGGUCUUAACAGAAAACAUACCUAAAUCCUCAAUCUGUGUCGCGCCCUGCUAGAAAAAAAGAAAAGACAACAUUAGACAUACACAAAGGUCUUAACAGAAAACAUACCUGGGAAUCCUCAAUCUGCGUCGCGCCCUGCUAGAAAAAAAGAAAAGGCGAAAUUAGACAUACACAAAGGUCUUAACAGAAAACAUACCUGGAAUCCUCAAUCUGCGUCGCGCCCUGCUAGAAAAAAAGAAAAGGCGAACAUUAGACAUACACAAAGGUCUUAACAGAAAACAUACCUGGGAAUCCUCAAUCUGCGUCGCGCCCUGCUAGAAAAAAAGAAAAAGGCGCAACAUUAGACAUACACAAAGGUCUUAACAGAAAACAUACCUGGAAAAUCUCCAAUCUGCGAUGCGCCCUGCCAGAAAAAAAAGAAAAGACAACAUUAGACAUACACAAAGGUCUUAACAGAAAACAUACCUGGGAAUCCUCAAUCUGCGUCACGCCCUGCUAAAAAAAAAAAAAAGGCCACACGACCUAAAGGAAAAAAAAAGAACCAUUAGACAUACACAAAGGUCUUAACAGAAAACAUACCUGAAAUCCUCAAUCUGCGUCGCGCCCUGCUAGAAAAAAAGAAAAGGCAACAUUAGACAUACACAAAGGUCUUAACAGAAAACAUACCUGAAAAUCCUCAAUCUGCGUCACGCCCUGCUAGAAAAAAAGAAAAGGCGAAAUUAGACAUUCACAAAGGUCUUAACAGAAAACAUACCUGAAAAUCCUCAAUCUGCGUCGCGCCCUGCUAGAAAAAAAAGAAAAGACAACAUUAGACAUACACAAAGGUCUUAACAGAAAACAUACCUGGAAUUCCUCAAUCUGCGUCGCGACCUGCUAGAAAAAAAGAAAAGACAACAUUAGACAUACACAAAGGUCUUAACAGAAAACAUACCUGGAAU